GUAGGGCGCAAGCGUUAUCCGGAAUUAUUGGGCGUAAAGAGCUCGUAGGCGGUUUGUCGCGUCUGCUGUGAAAUCCCGAGGCUCAACUUCGGGUCUGCAGUGGGUACGGGCAGACUAGAGUGCGGUAGGGGAGAUUGGAAUUCCUGGUGUAGCGGUGGAACGCGCAGAUAUCAGGAGGAACACCGAUGGCGAAGGCAGAUCUCUGGGCCGUAACUGACGCUGAGGAGCGAAAGGGUGGGGAGCAAACAGGCUUAGAUACCCUGGUAGUCCACCCCGUAAACGUUGGGAACUAGUUGUGGGGUCCAUUCCACGGAUUCCGUGACGCAGCUAACGCAUUAAGUUCCCCGCCUGGGGAGUACGGCCGCAAGGCUA
RNAcentral lists this ribosomal RNA (372 nucleotides) under uncultured bacterium. RNAcentral's name for it is "bacterial SSU rRNA". It matches the Rfam family "Bacterial small subunit ribosomal RNA", at positions 527 to 896 of the family's 1533-position model. The record is from RNAcentral.